GGGGUUGUGGCUCAGUGAUAGAGUGUUUGCCUAGCAUGUGUGAGCCAUGGGGUUCAAUUCCCCAGCAUCA
This 70-nucleotide transfer RNA is filed under the name Marmota monax (woodchuck). Its description in RNAcentral is "tRNA.Ala". Lineage: Eukaryota; Metazoa; Chordata; Mammalia; Rodentia; Sciuridae. The record is from RNAcentral.